RNAcentral lists this ribosomal RNA (389 nucleotides) under uncultured bacterium. RNAcentral's name for it is "bacterial SSU rRNA". It matches the Rfam family "Bacterial small subunit ribosomal RNA", at positions 29 to 441 of the family's 1533-position model. The record is from RNAcentral.
AACGAACGCUGGCGGCAUGCCUAACACAUGCAAGUCGAACGCUCGUGGCAACACGGGAGUGGCGAACGGGUGAAUAACGCGUGGGAACCUACCCCGAAGUUCGGAAUAACCGCGGGAAACUGCGGCUAAUACCGGAUGUGGCCUGAGGGCCAAAGGCGCAAGUCGCUUCGGGAGGGGCCCGCGUCCGAUUAGCUAGUUGGCGGGGUAAUGGCCUACCAAGGCGACGAUCGGUAGCUGGUCUGAGAGGACGACCAGCCACACUGGGACUGAGACACGGCCCAGACUCCUACGGGAGGCAGCAGUGGGGAAUAUUGGACAAUGGGCGCAAGCCUGAUCCAGCGAUGCCGCGUGUGUGAAGAAGGCCUGCGGGUUGUAAAGCACUUUCAGUA